RNAcentral lists this long non-coding RNA (223 nucleotides) under Elaeis guineensis (African oil palm). RNAcentral describes it as "long non-coding RNA (EGUI_LNC021853)". Lineage: Eukaryota; Viridiplantae; Streptophyta; Magnoliopsida; Arecales; Arecaceae. The record is from RNAcentral.
UUCAGCUUCAUCUAUAAAUAAAGAUCCAAAAGAGACCCCUAAGGUAUAAAAUCUCGCAUGCUCACUUCUUUCCUCUAUUGUUCAGAAUUUUAAAUUGAGUGUUGGAGGGUCCCCACCGGAGCUACCUCUGAUCGAAGAUUUUUUUGUAGAUCCUACCGUCGGCAACUUACCGUCACCAACCAACUCCAGUCAAUUUGACCUUAAGACAAAAUUAUGCCGCAAC